UUCCGUUCAAAUUCAUCUGUAAACCCAAUAGUAAAACCUUAUACAUUGGAUGUUUACUGUAGAAAGAAUACUAAAAAAAGUCAUUUAUAGAUUCCGAAACUAUUCUGAGUAACAUCCCCUUAAUUCCUUAAUUAAAAAAAAAUAGAAAAUAAGCAAAUAUAAUCCACUUUUGUGAGAGUAUCAGAUAUAAAAGUAACACUCACUAACAAGUGUCCAUUUUAAAUAAAAAAUCAAUUUCUUAAUUACAUUUCUACAUAAACAUUUGCUGAUUUGAUUGAGAAUCUAGCCCUAUUGCGUUCUGCUAUUUUAUAUUCCGAGAUGGCGAGAGACACCAAUACCGCUAAGUUCGUCAAAAAUAAUCUGAUCAAAGUAAAUUCGGUAAAAAAAAAUGCUUUUUUUUUUUUACCAAUACACAAAUACUUCUAGAACAAAAAAAAAUAACAGACAUGUCUAUAAAUCUAGCGAUAACCGUAAGUUUAUUGAUGCAACAUGAUGGAAGGUUGAACCGACCUGCCAAAUGUGUACUUAACCGACUAGUAUGGGUCCUUGGCAAACCCCCUCUUCGCGACAAUACUAUCGAACAGUGAACUAAGAUCUCAGGCUAUAAACAGACUCACAGAACCGGGUUUGUAUCAAUAUUUUGUAAUUCUUAAUCAAUGAAAUAGCAGAGAUGUCUCUGAAAUACGGAAGAAUAAAAAAAGACAAUUUUAUUAUUAAUUUUACUCUUGAUAAUGUCUUUUGAUCAUAAAAAAGCUUCUGCCCAAAUUACCAAAUUUUUUAUGAAGGUUUGAAAAAGUUAUUGGUGACUUUAUCUAAACGAUACUGUAAAACAAACACAGUUUGCUCUGGCUAUUGUCUUUUAGUCAUAAUGAGUUUCUGUCUAAAUGUCAUUGAAUUCCAUUUAGGAUAGAUCAAGUUAAAAAACAUGUCCAAUAUAACGCUAACAGACUGUCCCUAAAUGUUGACGCCGAUGGACAUAACUAUCAUAGGAUCAACAAUACAAAGAACUUUAACAUAUUCUACAAAAAAAAAGUUAUACCAACUAAAGGCAAAUUAACAGCAAACACUGCUUUUUUGACACGUCAUAUUCUGUGUUCAUUUUCCAUUCUAUGAUCGACCUAACAAGAAAAUGUUCAAUAUCAAACUCGAUUACCACUUUCUCAUUAGUGACUGCAUUUUCAAAUGUUCAAAUCGCUAGCUCAACGGUUCGCCAGUAAUUGCACUGAAACGACAUAAAGUGCCAUUUUCCAAUGUAUCAACAAAAAAAAAACAAAAAAAAAACACACUGGCUUUAUACACUACAAAAGUAAGAAUCAUCGAUAUUGAACUUGACCUUUUAUUUUUUCAUCGGUAGCAUAGCAUAAGUCGAGUUGUUUAUAGUUAAUAGAACGGAAAAGACAAAGUGCAUUUUUUCGGUAUAUUAAGGGCCAUAACUCCUUAACCGUAAAAAAAAAAGAAACCAUCAAUAUCUAAAGAGAGGUGCAUUUGACCUCCAUUUUGUCAUCAGGAACAUCAUAAUUUGAAAAUCAUUGGAACAAAGGUUGGUAGUCGUUUUCGAAUAUAGCAAGGGCCGUAACUCAUUAAAAACUGAAAAUCGUCAAUAUCGAAUUUGACCUCCGUUUUGUCAUUAGCAUAUCAAAUUUGAAUUACAUUGGUUGCACGGCUCAUAAGUAAUUGUUCGGAAGUUGCCAUUUUUCAAAUAUAACAAGGACCGUAACUCAUGUACGGGAAAAGUGAAAAUCGUCAAUGUCAAACAGUUCUGCAAUUUGGUCAUCGUCAUAUCAAAAUUUGAAGAGUAUUGGUUAAACGGCUCAUUAAAUUAUUGUAUGGAAACGACAUAAGUUUCUAUUUUUCAAUAUAGCAAGGACAUCAACUCGUUGGCGGUAAAAGUGAAAUUUCGUCAAUAUUGAACUUGACGUCCAGUUUUCAAUAUAUCAAAAAGAGAAAAGCAUGUGUUGGAACAGAUUAUAAUCUAUUGCAUGGCAACUGCUGGCGGCCGAACACUACCAAAUUAGUAUCCUGAUUUUACCUUUGGUUACCAGGUUUAUAUUUAGUAUAUAUACUGUGCUAGAAAAUGGCUGUAUCACAUUGAAGGCAUUUUCGUCAGGGGCGAAAUAUGUGUACUCUUAUUCAGGCUGAUUGGUAUGCAUUUACUUAUAAUUCAGUUAUAUUGUUGGUCUCUAUAUUGAUUGGUGACCGAUUAUCAUUAAUAUCUUCGUUUUUAUUUUAUUAAAUGGAAAUAAAACCCGAAACCCGCUGGAUCAAUUUAUAACAUUGAAAACAUCUAUUCGAUAACAAGAUUGUUUUACCAUACAGUAAGUAGAAAGAAUAAAAGAAUGGAAAACAGGGAACUCAUAAUUAAAGGAAGAGACAACUCGACCAAAAAGCAGAAGACAACCAAGAUGAUACUAUACUGGUUACCAAUGACCGAAAAGCUAACACUUAAGAAAACAAAACAUUCAAAUGGAUUAUAUAACCUCAAACUGUUACAGAUAAGACACAAAACCUUUAAAACCCGAUAUAAUCAAUAAAAUAUGGUCCAAACUGAUAUAAAACCAAGAGUGCACGUGCUGAAAUGUGUCUGACCUACUCUCAUAAGUGUGCAUGAUUGGUGGAGACGCAGCAGAGACCAAGUUUCAAGUCUGGUCUGGCUCUAGAAGGACCACCGGCCUCCGAAGGCAGAACUAUCGAAGCAGUCAUUUUCCUAAACCACAUCAACAUGUCAAGGUUACCAUUUGUUACCUUCGGAACUGGAAUAAAACGCAUUUCUUGGCAAGUAAUUUACUUGUAAUAGUCACCUUUCGCCUCCCGUCAAAGAUUUUGUUGCUCUCCCAAAGUCAGUACCAUUCAUACAGGGUUUGGUGGCUUAACAAACGUUUUAAUUGACGAAUUCAUAUAAUGGUGUUGCAUUCUAAAAUUAACGUAUAUAAUUGAUUUUAUCAGGUCAUAGCAAUUCAAAAUUUACAGGUUACUUUGCUAAUAGUGUUAUAGCCUUUAUACAUCUACCGGUAUAUCUCGAGGAAGGAAACCAAACGGUAAUGAUUUAAACGGAUAGGAGGAAACACUCCCGAUUAUUUGAGGGUAGAGUUCAGUCGCCAUUUAUUCAAAUAUGAGAGAUUAAUAUUUCUGGAUCUUUAUCUUCUAAGUUUAUUUUUUUCAAAGUUUCAAAGUAGAAAAUGACCAGCAAUUCCUUUUUCAAUUGGGCUUCCUGAAUUGAACUAUUAUAUCCUUAAAUUCGUUAAACGACUGAUCGACUUUCUUCAAAAUUGUGCAGGCAAUCAUCUAGUCAUUCUUUGACGUUCUGUAUACGAAGCAGGGUACAUCAUGUUUUACGAUGCAACGAUUAACCAGUUUGAAGAGCUAUCGUAAAUGCGUAUUUAUAUACAAUAGCCUUUCUUGAUUAAAAAAAAAAUCUCUCAAGUUUCAUGAAAAGACGGUUCAACCCAGUGGCAUUCUGAUAGGAUGAAGAAUAUUUUUCAAGACAGGACAAUUUAAAGUCUUUCAUAAGUAGCCUUUUCCUCAUCAUCGUGACCAUUUUUAUUUCAAUAGUACUUUUCCUUUUAACAGCAUCGACCUUUCUCGUUCUAUGAAUUAUUGUAAUUUACCCAAGUUACAACCGGCCAGUAAGCAGUUGUGAUUACAAUUGACCUAUAUUCCUACUGCGUCAAUUCUCUCUAUAUCAGGUAUUGACAAACAGAUAGAUGUGAGAAGAGCAACAGGACGAACUAGGUCUGGCAAAAUAUUCACUAAAUUCUAAAUUUUUCGUGGAUUUAUGAAAUCUUGCAUUUUCUUCACGUUUUUAGGUAAGAUCUUCUGAACCAUAUAUAAAUAACUGGGAUGGCAUUUCAAGUACUACAUCAUUAUCAUGGGUUAUUUGUUCAGUUUAAUCGGAGUCUUUGCUUCUGUUAGAAGUAAAGUACAAUUUCAAACUGUACAGAGCCAAUAGUCAAGAUUUCGGAUUCACAGGUACUGAAAGUAGAAAUGUAAUUAUCCCAUACUCAGGCCUUUCAUGUAUUUCAGAGGGACAUAUUUCGGCUGGUCAGCAAAUUAAAUUAAUUUACUGACGUUAGGAGUCUUCAACCACAACCUACUCUGUAUUAAAAAUGUAUCUAAAAUGUUUAUCUUGUUCCUGUCAAAUCUAACCGAAUAAGGUGAUAAAACGUUUUUUGUGUUAUAUAAAUUGAUUGAUUGUAGGUUGCUUAACAUCCAGUGGGAAAUAUUUCAUGCAUGUUCAGAAUGAUGUAUUGCAUAGACAAAGCUUAUUUCGCAUGAAUAUUGGUCAGAAUUGACUAUAAUUCAGUUGUUUCAACCAAACCACAUACACUUUUCAAAUACAGAGGACAAGGAAGCAGAAUGUUUACAGCUGAGUAUUACAAGGAAUAUUUAAAAAAGCUGCAGCAUGAAAAAAUAAAUUGGUUUUAACAGAUAUGAAAAUGAGUUUUUUUUAGGCCCACACAUAUAAUCAGGUCUGUCAUCAUGCCAGUUUGAUCUAAAAAACUUAGUCAUAUUUUUUUAGGCCAUUUUACUUUAACCAUUCCUUUUCAUCCAUAUUUUUGUUGAAAUGGAAAAUGAAUUCUUUUCAAUUCUGCUCUUGGUUGCUAAUAAAAUAUAUUUGUUUGUACCAUUCAGAAUUUAUCACACAUAUGCUAAUAGUUAUCAUAUUUGUUUCAAUUGUCACAAUCCCAUCAAACCCAUUAUGGUCUAAGACAAAUCUACACCAAAACUCUUUAACAGGAUAGGUCAGGGUGUCUAAAUUGAAUUAAACUGGGAACUGAGAUUAACUACUUCCAUCUCCAACAAUGUUUAAAACCAACCUUGAAAUGAUGUUCUACAUGAAAGUAACUGCUGAAAUCAAAAAAAGAAUAAAAUGGAUUCACCUCUGCUUUCGUCUAUCACCUAUACCACAGCCUCUUCCAAGACAACCCUACCAAUCUGAAGACUAUACAUAAACCUUAGUAAAAAGACAAUGUUGGUAUUCCCUCAAACUGGUCAAAACUAUAUAUAACUCUAAUUUUAGUUACGUUCCAAUGUUUCCAAUCGGUUAUUUGGGUGUAAAAAUUAGAGUUAGUAUUUAGUCUUUUAUCAUUUAUUUUCAGUAGCUUGUUAAAACAAGCUACAUAUCCUUGACUAAAAAGGUCAAAGUAAAACAUUUAGCCCCUCCCCCCCAUCAUGUUAAUACAGUGUUUCAUACAAAUAUUUGUCAUGUCUCAGAAUUAAAAGCAUAAAACUUAAAUAGAAUUUAACUUUUUUUUGUUUUGAAAAGCCUGAUUAUAAUGUUCAUAUAUCCUACGUGAGAUCAUUUUUAAGAUCAAUGAAAUUAAAUUAUUAAAAAAAAAAUAUCUGUUCUAAUCAACCUUUUCAAUUUGAGUAAAAUGUUCAGCUUCUCUGAUACUAACAAAAGUAUUUAUAUGGAACACUACUAUUUUCUUCAAAAUGUCUAAAUAUGCACACAGAUAUCCUUCAAACACACACACACUCACACCCACAAACACACACACACUCACACCCACAAACACACAACCAUUUACUUUCAUAGACAAAAAUUUCACUCUCUCUCUCUCUGUUAAAAACAAUGGUUAUUUUUGCCAUAUAAGCAUAUUUGUAUAAAUAUUUUGUAAUAAUAUACAUCAUGUAUUCAGUAAUGACAAAAGAAAAACAUCACCCCUUUUCCUUAUCUAUUAUAUUGUUUGUAUGAUUGCCAUUGUUAAGCCAUGUCUUAACUUAUUUUUAAAAGCAGGAAUUUAGAUUUAUAAUAUAAUUACACAACCCUUUUUUUAUUAUUUGGUACAAAAAAUACUCAAAUAUGUUGAAAACCAAGUGAAAUCCCAUGCCUUACUCAUUUUCUACACUCCAAACAAUGAAAUAAACACCAAUAAAUUGAUCUUUCCAGAAUUAGGUACAUUCUAACAAAUAUAUAGGUAAAAAUAAUUUCCACAAUCUUAUGAAUAAUUACACACUAUUGAAAAACUACAGAAUUUAAUUGAAAAUCUGGUAUAUUUACCACCAACUCUUAUAUCUUAAAUAUCUUUCAAGAAUCAUUUAAUACCAAAAAUAUCUCUAGAUUUUUUUGGAAGUUAUAAACAUGCUGACUGUCAUCAUGACUGUAAGGUAUCAAUUCCUAAGAAAACUAUUGAAAAAAUACUUUCAUUUAUAUUUUCUGAAUCUGUCGGUACCCCUUUAAAAGACUAUAUUUUCAUUUGAAUACUUUGAAUUGAUAAUAAAUCUAUAUUUGAAAUUUGUUUUGAAUAAGUAAAAGUUUUCAAAAUGUAGCUUAUACUUUCUCCUUAUAUUAAUCAGGAUGUUAGAAAAAAUACAAUUGUAUAAAAGCAUUCAAUUAAUUGAACAAGUCUUGUUUUCAAAUCUAAAUUUUAAACUCUAUUGGUCUCAAAAGCAAAAGCCCUUUUAACAAAAAUCUUUCGGUAAAAUAAAUUUUACAUUCUUGCUUCAAUCAAUAUGAAAUGGAAAAGUUGGAAAACUUGAUCUUAAAUAAUACAACGAAUAGCAAGAGACCAAGUUCUUGUAUACAGCCAAUUUUCAGUCCUUGCAGUACAAAUGUAUAACAAACAUACAUCAUUACAAAGCUCUCUAUGAAUGCUGCAAUUCAAGAUACACAUCUUUCACACAAAGUUUACAAACAUGAUCUCAAAUUAUGAACACUUGUUUGAUAAAAAUUCAGCAUCCAUUAAUGAUAUAAACAAGAGUAAAAAAAUCCAAAUUUACAAUUAAACACAAAAAUGAUUACACGAUUCAUCAAUAACAAUAUCUGACAGCAACAACAAAAUGUGAUGUUUGAGUGAAAAUAAAUGAAAUGCCAGGAGUGAAGCUAUUCUGUCAAGGAAUUUAAACUAUUUCUUUAAUGCAACUGAAUGAUUAGAAAAAACUAUCAAGACAGGAAACAUAUUUUAAACUAUUUUCAAUUAAUAUGAAAUGCAUUUUUCUAUGUGAUUCUUUAAAUCAUCUAUCUAAUUCUAAACAUAACUUCAGGUGAAAAACAGUAGAAAAAAGAAUGAAAUGUCAUAAUGUAAGAAAUGAAACACACUAUAAAAUAAAUAAACAUCAUUCGAUUUCUCCUUCUUCUAGCACUUUUUCUGGAUCCGAUGUUUUUGGUUGACUAUUUUUUUCUACAGGUUCAGUACUUUCCUCCUCCUCCUUCCCGUUAGGUAUACUACUAGAUUCACUUGUUUCUAUUUGUCCAUUAGUUUGUUCAUCACUUGUAGAAUCAACAAUAGGAGGAGGUUCUACAACUGGUACAUUUGACUCUUCAGCCACUGGCUCAGAGGCAUUUGCUUCAGGAGCAUUUGUUUCGGGAGCAUUUGCUUCAGGAACAUUGUCACUAUCAGGUAUCUUUGGUGCUUCUGGAGCAUCACUCCAUCGCGACUUUCUUCCAUUCUGAUCUCUGUCCCUAUCCCGAUCACGUCUGUCGUGAUCUCUAUCCCUACCUCUAUCACGAUCACGGUCCCCACGAUCCCGAUCCUUAUCUCUGUCUCUUCUAUCACCUCUAUCACUACGAUCCCUUCCUCUACGGUCAUCACCAUGGCGAUCAUCUCUUCUAUCACGACGAUCGUUAUCACUACCUCUACGAUCCCUACCUCCAUAACUAUCUCUUCCUCCUCCUCUAUCCCAUUUCUUACGACCUCCAAAUUCAGUGGGCAGUGCAUUUUCAUCUCCAUCUUGGUUUUCAUCACCUUGUUGAUUACCUCCCCAAUUGUCAUCUCUGUUACGUCCUCCAAAAUUGUCCCUUCCUCUACCUCGUCCACGGCCGCCACCUCUUCCUCUUUGUUUGGUACUCCCAAAGGCUAAAGGAAGUGCAUUUUCAUCUCUUUCUCCCUCUUCUUCUUCUUCACCUUCUCCUCCCCAAUCACCUUGAUCUUUGUCACGACUUCUUCUAUCAUGGCUAUCCCUUCCCCUUCCUUCAUAGCCACCUCUACCUCUGUCUCGUCCACUGCUACUUCCUCUGUCUCUUUGUUUGGUACUUCCAAAAGCUAAAGGCAGAGCAUUUUCAUCUCUUUCACCUUCCUUCUCUUCCUCAUCUUCUUUCCUAUCACCUUGUCCUUCAUCACGAUUUCUCCUGUCAUAGUUAUCUCUUCCCCUUCCUUCAUGUCUAUCACUACUACGGCUUCGUCGUCUACUACUACCAAAUUCAGUUGGAAGAGCAUUCUCAUCUUUUUCUCCAGGUUCAUUAGGCUGUUCCUCAUAAUCAGAGUUCCUUCCUUGAUCUUCGUCUCCCAUUCCUGGUGGGCCAUCAAAUGGUUGUCUCCAGUUAUUUCCACCUCGACCUCUAAAUCCAGGGGGUCCACCUCUGCCUCUAAAAUUGCGAUCAUAUUGAAAACGAUUGUCAAAUCUUGGUCCUCUUGGUCCAAAGUUUCUUGGGCCUCCAAAACCUCCUCCUCUUCCACCUCUGCCACCCAUUAUAUUAUCAAAAUCCAUCAGAGGUCGUGGACCUCUUGGUCCUCCCAUUGGACCACCUCUGUUUCCAUGACCUCUAUCAAAACCACCUCUACCACGACCUCUUCCGCCACCACCCCAAUCAUUCUCUUCUGGGGGAACCCAAUCGCCUUGUUCCUGUCUUUUUAUUUUAUUACUUCCAAAGCUCAUUGGCAGAUCAAAUUGCAUUAAUUGUUCUUUGUCUUCUGGGUCCAUUUCCAUUUCUGUGUUUUCAUCAUCCUUUGGCUUUUCUGAUUUCUCAUCCAUUACAGGAGAAUCUUCUCUCGAUACUGGUUGUUCCAUUUGAAUAGGAGGUCCCCUAUUUUGUGGCCAUUUGUUGCCUGGAAAGUUUUCAUUUUCAGUGUCUGGUUUCUGAUUGAAUAUUGGCCUUGGACCUGGUCCUUGACCUAAUAGUGCCCUUGGACCUGGUUGCAUUGUAUUAAUGAACUGAGGUGGCUGUGUUCCUGGAGGAUGCAUAUGCAUUGGAGGUCUCUGGCUGAGGUUUGGAGGCUGCAUUCUAAACUGCUGAAAUUGCUGGAACUGAGGAAAACCUGGUUGUGGUUGAAAUCCAGGUCUGAACACUGUGAUUGGCUGUUGAGAUACCAUAGUAGCAGGAGCUGAACUAGCCAUUACAUUGUGAAUAUUCUGUCCAAGUUGUAAACCUGCAGCAUUCGAAGCUGGUGGACCAACCUG
RNAcentral lists this long non-coding RNA (9117 nucleotides) under Mytilus galloprovincialis (Mediterranean mussel). Lineage: Eukaryota; Metazoa; Mollusca; Bivalvia; Mytilida; Mytilidae. The record is from RNAcentral.